This 3133-nucleotide long non-coding RNA is filed under the name Citrus x clementina. Its description in RNAcentral is "Citrus clementina (C. clementina) long non-coding RNA (CCLE_LNC003886)". The record is from RNAcentral. Lineage: Eukaryota; Viridiplantae; Streptophyta; Magnoliopsida; Sapindales; Rutaceae.
UAGCCAAUAAUUUUAAUUUUCUUUUAGUUAUUUCCGUCUACAAAUUAUUGUUAAGAGUAAUAUUGUCUUUGCAUAGUCAAUUAACGGUCAAUGUUAAAAUUAACUGACGGUAGAAAGUUUUUUACAAAUAAAUAAAUUCUCGCCAUCUACUUACAACAAGCUCAAACCUCAAGGAAGAUUUUUAAAAAUUACCCAAAUUUCAAAUCUAAAGGCCCUUAAUUUACGACACAAUUAACUCAUGCUGAUCCGAGAUCUAAAAAAUUAUGCUUGUGGUAAGAUGCCAAUUGCACGGCUCAUGAAAAAAAAUAUUGCAAGUUGAGUGUUGCAUUUUUCACAUGCCUAGUCGCUUUCCCUAACUUCAAAAUUGUUGAAAAAAGGGGUUUUUAUUUAUUUAUUUUUUACGAAAAGAGAAUUUGGCCCUGGGCUUAGAUGAGCUUUCAAAAAAUCCUAUGCUUCAGUAUAUUAUUCAUUAAAUUCCCCUAUAUCUUUGAUUGGCUAUUUAAUAUGUAUAGCCCAUAGGGUUUGGUGAGAAUCCAGAUUUUUUUUUUUCACUUUAUAUGUGUGCAAUUCUUCUAUGCACACGUGUCUCACUAAAAUUUGAUGAUGCUGCUGAGAAUAGACCUUCUCCGCAGAAUCAAUUGAUGAAAAAAAAAAAAAAUUGACAAAAAUACGCUUCCCCAAAAAAGGAGCUUCGGUUAAUAAAUGCAACAAAAGGAAAAGACGACAAAAAUGAAAUAAACUAAUGAAUAAUAAAAUAGAUAUAGAAUUUGAGUUGCCACCGUAAGGCGCUACAAGCCCACAAAACUAAGAAACGAAUAUGGUAUAAACAAAUAGGGCGGUCGGGUUAUUUAAAAAUAAAAUAAAUAAAGUGGAAUAAAGGAAAAAUAAAGGAAAGAUCCAACGCGAGCCGAGAAUCAAGCAAGGUUUCGGGGUUGAGUGACAUGCCGGGGAGCCGGGAGACAUACGUGGGAGGGAAGACGCCAUACACGUGUCGAGACAUCGGUGCUUUGGAUGACUCGUCUUCUUGGCUAAAUUCGAUCUACUGCUAGCAUUAUAAUAUGGAAAGUUACAAGGGCGUGUUUGGCGGCAGGAUCAGAGCAUGGGCAUUGGAUGAUCUUUUUGAAAGAAAAAUAAAAAAAAAUAAAAUCUCAAGGGAGGCAUAAAAUAAUAAAUGAAAAAAAAAAAGGCGUAUACUUCAUUUAGUAACGACGAGGCGAAAUAAAAUCUCAUAUAUAUGUAUCAGCACUAGCAUAUAACUUUUUAUCUACUCCCAUAUUAUGUUCAUGUUAAAAUAAGAGCAUAUUAUUCAUUUAUUGCAGUGGAACACAUCAUUUAAUCUUUUGUUAUAUAAAAAAAUUAUCUCAUUUAGCCCUAUGAGAUAAGUUACUUACUACUUUUUUUUAAAAUUAAAGUAUAAAUUAUUUAGCCAUUAAAUAAAUUAAAUUAAAUAAUUACACGAUUAAAAUUUCUAAUUUAUUAUAUAUUAAGACUUAUAAUGUAAUUUUUUUAUAAAUACAAAAUCAUAAUUUCAAUAAUAUUUAUAAGUUAUUAAUUAAAAUUAUUUUGAGAAAUAAAUUAAAUUAUUUACAUUUUAAAGUUAAAAUUAACAUCUAUAAAACUAUAAUAUAAUCCAAUCCAAUCCAGUCAUAUACCAUGUAAACACAAGAUAAUACUAAUUGUAUUAUUUUUCUCGCAUAACUUGUAAAUAGGCAACACGUGCAUUUACAUAGAGGUGCCAAGUGCUAAGAUGGUGGGAAUGUUUAUAUGUUGGCAGCUGAAGAUAUAUAUAUAUAUAUAUUCAUUAUUUAUAACUAUCCCAUAAACAAAGAAAUAAAUAAAUAAACAAACAAAAAUUCAUGCAUUGUAAAUAUCACUUGAUUAGUCAAAUGUAUAUAUGAAUGAUGGAGUUUAAAAAUUAACUUGGCUUACCGAAUGAAUUAGUUGACUUUGACUCUCAAAACCAUCCCCCCCCCUACAGAAUUAAUCUAUUUCAUUCCAUUUAAAAGCUUAAUUAUUUUUUUCUUUUACACAAUGAAUUAUUUAUGAUCGGGAUUUAUCAUCAAUUUAUAAAUCACAUUUACUGCUAAUAACGAAAUCCAUUUAUUUUAUCAAAUUGUUUAGCAUGAAAUUAUUAUAUUGCCAAUUAUUUAAUUAACUCGAAAGUAUUUUAUAACACCCAAGUACAAGUUAUUUUUAAUGUAUUUACAUAUACAUUUAAAUCAAAUAAUUACCAAGUUAUUUGAUUUCAGACAUUUUUAAUAAAAAGUUAAAAAAAGAAUAUAAACAAGCCAUUCACACAAAUGUAUUUAGACUAAUUUAAAAUUUAUUUAAUAUUUAACUGAAAAAAUAAACGCUUUCUUAUUGUUUGAAAGAAUUGUUUUUUUUUUUUUUCUGUCAUUGACGUGUGUAUGAGGGGAAUUCUAACCUAAUUAGUGGGUAGUUCAAGAAUCAUUAAUCAUAAAUAAUGUAAUCAAAACUUGCUUUAUGAUUUUUAUUAUACAAAUUCCAACGGUGUGAUAUUUGAAUAAAAUAAGUGGCUUUGAAUUUUCCCUCGUUUAUGGUGCAAGUGAUGAUAAAAAAAUAAAAACAUCUUUCCAUGCGAUAAUUCAAAUUUUGUCGUAUGUUUUUUUUGUUCCACUUGCGUGACAGCCAUACCAAUUAAUCGCCCUGCUAUAUUUCGAUUCAAUUUGCAGGACCAAAAUUUAAAAAGUACCUGCAUUUGAUUUCGUGCGUUUCGUUAACACAAAUUUAUGCAAGAGGUAUAAUCAUAGUCAUAUAUCAAAUUUAAAUUCAAACCUUAUUGUUAUUCAAGUUUGUAGUAAGUCUACUGAUACUUUCAUAUCUUGCAAACAGGCUGUGUACGGAGGAUUUGAUGACGAAAUUUCACCUCUUCUUACGUAAUAAAUAUUCGUGUUUCACUAUUCCACCCACUCUUUUCUUAUGGUGGUAGUUUGAGUAGGCUUUCUAAUUUAUUGUUCAACAAAUAUUUAGAAGGUACUACAACUGUCUCUUCUGACCAAAAAAAAAAAAAAAAAAAUCAAAGCUCAUUAUCACUCAUUCAACUCCCAAGAAAAAAAAUUAAAGACUACCCUUAGCACUUAAGAUUUAAUUAGACUAAGUUAUAUUGAAUUGG